CGCUCAGGCCACAACCCAAGUCGUGAGGAAAUACUGCCUGCCGUCAGGAAACGGCGGUACCGAUAUGAUCGAUCGGCAUGGCCACGACAUCUCGGACCCGCUCCCGCAAUCGCUCCGAAAUCGACAACGCGAGCAAGUGGAACCUGGCUGACAUCUAUCCGGACUGGCAAGCCUGGCAAGCUGACCUGGCCAAACUCGAAGGGCAGAUCGAUCGAUACGCCGCGCUCAAGGGAACGCUCGCGACCGGUGCUGCAACGCUGCGCACUGCCUUCGAACUCAACGACGAGCUGGGUCAACUCGCAUACCGUGUCUACUUCUAUCCAUCGCUGCGGUACGACGAAGACCAGCGUGACAACGCCGUGGACGCGCAUCGCCAGCAAGUGCAGUCGGUCAUGGCACGCUGGCAGCAGGCUACGUCCUGGUUCAGCCCGGAACUGCUCACCAUCGGGAUUGAAACCGUGCGCGAGUGGAUGCGCCUCGACGCCGCUCUGGGCCUCUACCGAUUCGCCAUCGAGGAGGUUUAUCGGCAGCAGGAACACGUGCUCAAUGAGCAAGGGGAACAUCUGCUUUCCCUGUCGUCCCGGCUGUCGGGCUCCCCGGGCGAGGUCUAUCUGUCCCUGUCGACAGCCGAUG
RNAcentral lists this unclassified non-coding RNA (633 nucleotides) under uncultured fungus. RNAcentral's name for it is "sequence contains 18S rRNA gene, ITS1, 5.8S rRNA gene, ITS2, 28S rRNA gene". Lineage: Eukaryota; Fungi. The record is from RNAcentral.